This 1018-nucleotide long non-coding RNA is filed under the name Bos taurus (domestic cattle). RNAcentral's name for it is "long non-coding RNA NONBTAT015788". Lineage: Eukaryota; Metazoa; Chordata; Mammalia; Artiodactyla; Bovidae. The record is from RNAcentral.
ACUCCAGGCCAGAUAGCACUAAUCCUCUGGCCUCUGUAACUUGGACCUGCCCCCAGCUUCCGUGCAGCUCCUGAGCAGUCGCAUCAGUGUGUUGCCUGGGGCAAUUUCACCGAGGUCAGCUGGUGACCAGAGUAGUCUAUCCAACUGGGUUAAGAAAAGGAGCGAUACUCCAGAAGGGCAAACCUGACUAACUUUUGAUAGAAAAGGGAAGGUAGAAGAAACUGCUUUGAGGAAUUUUCUUCAGAGUAAGACAAGGAUGGUCAAGUAGAACACUUGGUGCAUUUGAGCAAAGACUUCUGCUGCCAGGGAACUACGGAAAGCAGUGAGGUGCUUACCUCCAGACACUGAUCAAAGUACCACCUGUUCCGAAGAGGGAAAGAACGUUGGUUGGGUCCACCUUGGCCUUUUUGCACCACAACUCCAUGCCAACAUAAUUCUGCCAUCAUUUCUUUUUAUGGAAAUUAUAACCUGUUCCCCCAUAUGUAAUUCCCAUUUUCCUGGGAUAUCGUACUGACUGGGACGGCUAUGGGGGUUGCUCCAGGUCUUCAGCACAUGGACUCCUUGAAAUAGCUGUUUGAAGACAUCUUUUCUGAAGAAAACAGGCUACUGCUGUUUAUUAAAACUAUUGGCAUUGAAUUCAUUUAUCAGCUGCUCAGCACAAAGUAUAAUUGGGUCAUGGUCCAGAAGGCUCACAACAUCUAAAUUAGUGCUUGGAAUCGUCAUUCGAAAGUCCUCAACUGGCUGAAGUCUGUUAACAGUUCAAGGACUCUAGUUAACUGUUGGCAUGCUAGCUGACCCAGUGGAAAUAUUUGAGAGGUUUUUAAAAAUAUUCCUUAACCUUGCCAGGAAGAGAAGUAAAAUUCUUCAGGUUACUGGGCAUUUGUUUCUGCUUCAUCCUGGCAGACAAGGCUUAAAGCCUAAGACUGCAGAUGUAUGAGGCAUCUUGAUAUGUAGGGCACUUAGUAUUUUAUUAAAGACAUAAAAGUGAAACUGCUAACGAUGUACAGACAGGUUGACC